Molecule: long non-coding RNA, 1005 nt
Organism: Lampris incognitus (smalleye Pacific opah)
Lineage: Eukaryota; Metazoa; Chordata; Actinopteri; Lampriformes; Lampridae
Exons: 3
Source: RefSeq, a predicted model, not a curated record
GUGAAACUGACAUACACGCUGUUGUUUUCCUUUGUGGUAGUCGAUGUCGUCCUUCAAGGAAAGUACACACCAAAAAGUGAAGAGACUCAAAAAGACAGUGGGGCAACUUCAUCAAUCAGAAGACAUCUGACCCGUUUGUCCUCCAGUUGCAACCUUCUGCUUCCGAACUGCUCCUGCUUCUUUAACCCUCGCAUCAUGGGGAGGGGUGCAAGCGAAGAAUGGGAUGAAAAGCAUCCAGACACAAGGCAAACCCAACCGCAAAAACACCAAGACACACAGAGUGAAGAGUCAGAAGAGAGCGGCUGUAUGAAGUGCUGCAUCCGUACCAGGAACUGUCUGAUGAGUGCGGAGUGCGGCAGGGCGCUCCAGAUCUCCAGUGUUGUCGCCUGGUGUGGCACGUGCAUCGGCAUAUGGACAUAGUUUGACCUUGAACGCAAGAAACACCUUUUCUAAAGGGGGCUACAUUGGUUCUCAACAUGCUUUCCUCCAGCAACCAGCGAGAAACACAAGCACCUUAAUGCUUACCUCUAAUCUUACAUAAUAAAUAUUAAUCUUAGCAUCUGAAGACUCCUGUAGUUUCCAUCAACUGACAUUGCUUAUUUUACAUUGAACUGACCUUGGCUUUGCAUUCUUUACUAUAUGUUGUGAGCUUGGUUCCCAUAAAAAGGGCUGAAAAAAAGCUAAAAACUGUGUGGAAUUACUGGAAAUCAAUAAGUUAUGUUUUAAGUGCAUUUUAACAUAAACAGUGGGCGGCAUGGUAGCACAGUGGUUGGCAUGGUCACCUCACAGGAAGAAGGCUUUGGGUCUGCUUUCUGGCUGGCAGGCCAGGGUUCUUUCUGUGUGGAGUCUGCAAGUUCUCCCAGGGUCUGCAUGGGUUUCCGCUGGCAGCUCCGGUUUCCUCCCACAGUCAAGACAUGUAGGUCAGGUGAAUCGGAUAUACUAAAUUGCCCCUGGGUGUGAAUGUGUGCAAGAAUGUGUCUGUCUGUGUGUCUGCCCUGCAACGGA